GCGAGAACUAGUUCUGAGGCCUGGGCGGGAUCUUCCGACUGGUUUGCAGAGGGCCUCAGGGCUUUGUGAGGGUUUGGGUUCGGCUGGAUCUACCUGGAGUGGAGCGAAGCUCUGCCCUGCUUGGAUGGAGGCCUCCAGAGAGGAAUCAGGAACGGCUGUUGAACAUCCACAAGGCACCUGAAAGGCUUUUGUGGUGUUCAGGGACGUGGCUGUGGACUUCACCCAAGAGGAGAGUGGAGGUUGUUAAGCCCUGCUCAGAGGAUCCUACUCCAGGGAAGUGAUGCUGGAGACCUAUAGCCACCUGGUAUCGUUAGAAAUUCCACUUUCCAAACCAAAACUUGUUACUCACCUGGAGUGAGGGGAAGAGCCCUGGAGAGAGGAGAGAAAAUAUUUGCCAGACCUCUGUCCAGCAGUUGAAGAUGUUCAGGAAUGUAGCUGUGGAUUUCUCUUAGAGGAAGGGAAAUGCAUGGGUCUGAAACAUAGAGAUUUGUACAGACAUGUGAUGUUGAAGAACUAGAGCCACCUCAUCUCACUGGACCACACUCAACAUUAGUUAUUUCACAUUGGUGAGAAAUUCUGUGAAGAUAAGCAUCCUGGGAAGACAUUUCUUACUGAUUCAGAAUUUCAGACAGUUCACACUGGUGAAGAAGCUGAGGCAUAGAGACGUAACUUGCUGAAGCUCAUGCAGCUAGCCACCACAGUGUCAGAGAUGCAGACCCUGUGACCAGAUCAGACAGGAAGACCACAUACGGGAAGGAAUGAGCUGACUGGCCCAAAUUUAGGGGAACCACUACCACAAGAGAGGUGAGAUGCCCACAUAGCCUGAAGCUCAGAGGAAGUGGUUAUAGUCCCUGCAAAGGAUGAAAACACAAGAGCAAAAACACACAGGCACAACUUCCGGCUCUGCUACAGGGCUUUUCUGAUAUUUCUUUGGCAGGAAAGCUUGACCUCCUGGAGAUGAUCCAGGCCCUAUAAGUAGGCAUAAAUCUGAGUUGAAUAUGUAGUACAGGAACUAUGUUUCAGGGACAAUCCCCAGAAGCCAGCCUGACCUUGGACCCUGCUUCCCAUGAGUCUAGAAACUUAGGGUAACAAUGAAUUAGUCUUCUGUAAAUGUCCAUUUCUCUCUGCAUGAGUAGCAACAUAUCAGGUGCUCUGGGAGAUAUGAAUAAAGAAAAAAGAGUGGUCUCUACCCUCAAGGAGUUUAUCAUCUAAUUGGGGGAGCCAAUGCAAAGCAAGAUGAGAAUUAAAGAGUUCCUGGUCCUAGCAGGAAGGACUAGAUUCAUAGUAAAGAAUCUCAGAAGAAAAAAAUGGGUAUGGAUUAGAAGAAUUCAGAAGAGUCUUGAUGGAAGAGGUGAUACCUGAGUUGAGGCCUUUGGUAGGUGUGGGCAAAUACUAAAACAGCCCUAAGUUUCCCCUUCCACCAUCAGCCUGUAUCUUUGAUCUCUGCCCUGUAACUUGGUAUGCACCAGCUCCUUGACACUGUCAUUUUGAUUCUGGACUUAACCAUUUGGCUUGUUGUGGACAUCGAAAUGUUAGGAAACUUGACAAAGCAGGAAUCUGGAAAAAUGCAUGAUGCCACUUUUUUACAUCAGCCAACACCAAGGAAAUAGGCCCAGGCUAGUCUGCUGGAGACUGAGACAAGCAGGACACAGCUAAUUCACCCCAGUUGCCCUAGAGAAGAACUAACCAGACCAACCUAUAAGCAAAUUCAGCCAAGGUGUGUGAUUACUGAGUACUUAUUGCUAUAUGCCAUGAAGGUUUUCUGUUUUUAUGCAACAUUAUUCCAAAAAUACAUAACAUAUAAUGGGCAAAGAGGUUGGAAGAAUGAAAUGCUUGAGCAUUUCCUGUAGAGACUCUUAGAAAAUUACCAUUGCAUGAUAUUAAUAACUCCUACUUCAAAUAAGGUACCCUUGGUUAAACAUAUUGGAGAAAUGCUGAAUAAAUGAAAACAACAGGUUUCUUGAUGGAGACUUCCCAGGGUCUUGACUAUGAAAUGGAUUGUUGUGCAUCAUUCAGAAUGCACAAUUUCCCAAUUUUUGAACAAUCUCAUGGAACAAGGGUGCCCCUGAAUACAUUACAAGGCAUAUCAAUCCCAGAAAGUCAUGUGCCAUUCCAACUUAUAGCAAAUAAUUUGCCAGAGGGCAAGGAUAUUUUCUUUCUUAUCUGGUCCUGUGUCUCAGGACCUAGAGCAGUGUUUGCCACACCAUGGGCACACAACAAAUAUGUGCACAAGGAAGACAAGGAGGAAAGGGGAAAGGGAGAGAAAAUGAAUAUGUUUUUUCUUACCCCUGCUCUUGUAUUUGUGCUAUUGCCUCUGUUCACAAUCAGUGCCUUGGCCUUAUCUACCUGGUGAUUCCCAACUCUCCUUCAAAGUUGUCAUCCCCCUGAAGAUGUUUCUGACCUCUCAAGUCAGGUGCUGCAUUCAGAGUGCUAGGAGCUGCAUUAUUGAGUUCAUCUUUCCCACCAUGUCAAGCACAGUGCCCACCACACUGUACGCAUAUAAUGAGUAACAACUGUUUCUUUCAAACAGAGGAAGAAGAGGAAAGGGCAGGGGAGAAGGAAAGAAGGAUAGAAGGAAGAAGAAAUGGAGAAAAACAGAGAUGGAAGGGGAAGAAGGACAAAAGGGAGAGAAGGAGGUACAAAUUAAUGAAACACACUCAAGGAUCUUUUCAUAACAGCAAAUGGUUUGUGAUAAGAUUGGAGAGUUUUCCUAGGAGCAGGUGGUAGAGAGACAUGACUAUAGGAAAAUUUGUUCACUCUUAAUUCUGCAAGGAGGCAGAGAUUAAUAUUUUAUGCAAUAAAUUGGCAUCAGAUAAGCUCUCCUCUGGAAAUUGUUUUUUGUCAACAGGCAAAACACUACUACACUUAUGUAUACCAAAGCAAACUGAAUAAAAUUUAUCAUUUACUUAAUAGAGGAAAUAGUAUGUAGCAAAAGAGAAAACAUUUUACUCAAGUCCCUCAACCGCCUUAAACCAACACAAAGACUUCUGUUGAAGGGGGAUGUUGUACUCAUCUGGGACCUGGUGACCAGAAGUGGUCACCUAUGAGACUGAGCCAUGUGUUUACAUGUUAAAUAUUAAAUCAAAUCUGCUUUAUGUUGAUAAAUAAAAGCAUGGGUCCCAAGAAGUGUAAUCUACAACUAGAGUAGAAUUGAAUAUGUUCUUCUGAAAGCCAAGGAUUAAUGUUCAAUAAUGAUUUGGUUAUCACUAGCCCUUAUGCAUGGAAUAUAAAGAGCUUGUCAAAUGCAUGAGUUACAUUUUCAAGCAGAUGCUGACAGUUUUCUUAAAGCUCUCUUGUCUGGCAAAAUGGAAGAAAUGGCUUGUGGCUUUCAGAAAGCUGCCCAGCAUCAUAGAUAUUCUAAAUGUUCUACAUUAAGUAAGAGAAAAUCAACACAUUAAAAGUCUGCCUGUUUUGUACACUUGUAGUCCUAACUAAUUCAAAGCUGGCUGGGAGCACUAAGCAAGCUAAAUCUGAUUUGUAUUGACAUUUAAUAAGAGGCAAAAAAUUCAGUCCUGCCCAUAUCUAAACAUGCCCAAAGAGUAAUGAAAGUGAGACAAUUAUCCAGAAGCUUCCAGAAAUAGAAGAAACGUACUCUGUGUUUGUGUGCGCGCAUGCUUGUGUGCACUGGGAUGUGGCAGGAGAAGUAGAAUAGCUGAGAAGAGAAUUUAGUAUGUGGCUAUUCCAGAGUGUCUGUUGCAGCCAAUAAAUGGAAGGAAGUAAGUGUGACAUCUAGGCACAUCCAGGAAGGGAUGAAGUAAUGGAUGAGCAUUCACCAAAAUAAUCUGUAUAGUUCCUUACAGUUCAUGGCUGGAAAUUUGGGGACACCCACGUCCCACCGAAAAGAUUUUGGAAAUGGCCUCAAAGAGAUAUCCUUGGAAUAUGACUGGAAUUUUAAAAAAUGCUGAUUGAAUUAUACUGUUUUUAAAAGAGAUAUUAAUAGCAGAAAAAUGCUCAUAGUGGGGGUUCUAUAAAGAAGACUCAGAAAGCAAGGAUCAUCAGUGUCUCUAUAACCAACCAGGAGUGAAGGGGCUCUGCACAGCCCAAAUGAGCCUUCCACCCCUGAAGUAGCCUGUAAAAUGCCCUCCCAGAAAUAUGCACACCCUAAUCCCUGAACCCUGCAGAUGUUACCUAUUUUGACAAAAGUGACUUUGCAGAUGUGCUUAAAUUAAGGAUCUUGAGAUGAGAUUAUCCUGUAUUAUCCAAGUGGGCCUAAGUUCCAUCACAUGUAUCCUUAUAAGAAAGAGGGAGAAGGAGAGCUGACAUACAGAGAAGGCUAUGAGAAGACAGAAGCAGAGAUUCGAGCACCACAAGCUAAGGAGUGCAUGGCAGAACUAGAAUCUGGAGGAGGGAAGAAAUAAGACAGUCCCCUGGAGCCUCCAAAAGAGUGCAGCCCAGCUAACACCUUGAUUUUGACCUAGCAAUACUGAUUUGGUACUUAUGGUCCCCAGGUGUGUAAGGGAAUACAUUUCUCUUCUUUUAAACCAGCCUGGGAAAUUGUUACUGUAGGCACUGGGAACUAACGCAACCUCCAUGUCAAGGUGAGUGCUGCAGGAAACUUGAGCUUGAGGACACACACCAUUACACUCAGGCAAUUGACCCUCUUCCUGCCCCUUGGCCCUUCAUGCCCUGCUGUUGUAGCUCAGAUUCCUUGUUAUCCAAUUAGGAUUCUGGAUAAAAAUCUGGCUGCUUUUCUAGAUUUGCCAAAAAGAGAGACUGCACCAAUAAGGAGACACAAACUUUUUAGUCUGCUCAGAACUUAGGUUUUCCAUUGGGAAUUCACUUAGGAUGUAUGCAUCUGAUACAAUGACUAGUGGAAGCCUCAAACUUGGGGAGUCUCAAUUGCACUAACAGAAUAAAUAUUCUAAGUCCACAAUGUUGAAAUAUCAACAUGCAGAUUCAUAAAGAUCUCAGUAGCCUACGGAAGUUCAGUUUGGGCUGCCAGUCAAUCUUCCUUGAUAAUACCUCUACCUCCUCUAUAAAAAUAUAGCAGGUUUUACAUUGGUUGAACUCAUUUCAGGUAACUUGUUGGUGCAUCUUUUGCCCCAAAACAUAUAAAAAAUAUUUUGAAAACAGAUCCUUUGUAUAUUUGUCAAGACUCAUUUAGUUGGGUCUCAAAUUAACCUAGACAUACAAACCAAAAAGGAACAUAUUUCUUUCCAUAACUUGAAGGUUCAAAGAAAAAAGCUCCAGCUUCAGGCAUAGCCAUAUCUGGGGAGUCCAAUAAUGAGAAAUUGGUCCCCUUUCUAUCCAUCUGUUAAUUCUGUCUUCCUUUUGUUGACUUUUAGACUCUGGUAAUCUUUCUUCUCUGGAUAGUGAAAGUAUCCACUAGACGUUUAGAUGUUUAUUUACCCCUAUAUCUAUCAAUCACAGAAACAGAUAUUUGUCCCAGCAAAAAUUUGUGGAGGAGUUCCAAUUGAUCCAUUUAGGAUUAUAGUUUCAUAUUUAACCAAUCACUGUUGCCAGGAAGUUUCAACCCUGUGGCAAGGAGGAGGGGUCAACUCCUCUCCAUCUGGAAUGAAUUUUUCCAUAAUCAAAAUAAAUUGUGCUGUAAGAAGGCAGCUGAGGAGAAAGGGAUAUCAGGUGGACUAUAACUCCAACUACCUCAGUUCACUCACUUUCAUUUGUGGAUUUCAUAUUCUCAGUUCCAACUAUUCCUGAGUCACCCUAAGCACUCAUGACACUCAGAAUUCAUAAUUGUUCUAAGCCACAAUAUCACAUUGCCCAUGGUAGAAAGCCAAAGAGCCAUGAAAAGUGCUUAGCAAAUGAAUGAGCCUAGCUGACCACCUGUCAACCACAUCUCAGAGCAACUUUGUUUUUUCCUGCAUCUACACAGAAAGUUUUCAGUAAGAGGAAAACUUUACUCCCUAGUUCAAACUUCCCUUGGAUGACAGCAUCUGUUGAUAUUGGUGCUGAAAGUGAAAAAGUGGCAAGGCCUUUUACAAAUAGACUACAAAUAAACUACAUUUAAAAAUCAUCACUCAGUCUAAAAUGAGUCAGUUUAAAUGUCAUAAUGUAUUUAAUAAGGGCCUAGAAUGCACCCCUCAUGGAUGAAUGUAUUCUAUAUAAAUAAUAUCUACUCAACAGUAAUGAUCUCUUCUGUUUAAGCUAUCUAUUCUUGCAAAAGAAAAUAUCCCCAAACUUAGUGUCUUAAAUUAACGAAUAUUUUAUUUACUCUCAAUUCCACAAUCUAGCCUGGAUUCUACUACACAGAUCUUCUGCUGGUCUUACCAGCAAUCACUCAUGUGCCUGCAGUUAGCUGGCAGGUUGAUUGGGAAAUAGGCUCAGCUGAGACAUUAGGAAGCUUGGGCUCUCUCUCUCCCUCUCUCUCUCUCUCUCUCUCUCUCUCUCUCAUUCUCUCUACAGUAUCUCUAUCUCUUAUCUCUAUCUCUAUCUCU
This is a long non-coding RNA of Sciurus carolinensis (gray squirrel), 6395 nucleotides long. RefSeq lists it as uncharacterized. The record is from RefSeq and is a predicted model, not a curated record. Lineage: Eukaryota; Metazoa; Chordata; Mammalia; Rodentia; Sciuridae. The transcript has 8 exons.